GUCUUAUUUAAUUGAAGUCUAUCAAUCACUCUUUCGACCUCAUCUAUCGUAAACUCAUAAUUAAGUUGGGCUAACUCUUGAUUGUUAAUUUUUGGAAUAUCAAUAUUAUUCAAAUAUUGUUUAAUAUCUUGACUAUCUGAUGAUGUAUCCAGAUCAUAUAGUUUGCUGUAAAAUUCAUUAAAUAGUUGCCCAAUUUUUUCUGGGGAGGAGUAUGUAAUUUGAUCCGCGAC
Molecule: non-coding RNA, 230 nt
Organism: Pelobates cultripes (western spadefoot toad)
Lineage: Eukaryota; Metazoa; Chordata; Amphibia; Anura; Pelobatidae
Source: the annotation of a GenBank genome assembly